GGCUCAGAACGAACGCUGGCGGCAGGCCUAACACAUGCAAGUCGAGCGAACGUAGCAAUACGUUAGCGGCAGACGGGAGAGUAACACGUGGGAACGCGCCCUUCGGUUCGGAAUAACUCAGGGAAACUUGGGCUAAUACCGAAUACGCCCUUACGGGGAAAGAUUUAUUGCCGAAGGAACGGCCCGCGUCCGAUUAGCUAGUUGGUGAGGUAAUGGCUCACCAAGGCGACGAUCGGUAGCUGGUCUGAGAGGAUGACCAGCCUCACUGGGACUGAGACACGGCCCAGGAUCCUACGGGAGGCAGC
Molecule: ribosomal RNA, 305 nt
Filed under: uncultured Hyphomicrobiales bacterium
Lineage: Bacteria; Pseudomonadati; Pseudomonadota; Alphaproteobacteria; Hyphomicrobiales
Description: bacterial SSU rRNA
Rfam family: Bacterial small subunit ribosomal RNA
Source: RNAcentral